UACGUAGGGAGCAAGCGUUGUUCGGAUUUACUGGGCGUAAAGGGCGCGUAGGCGGCGCGACAAGUCACUUGUGAAAUCUCCGGGCUUAACUCGGAACGGUCAAGUGAAACUGUCAUGCUAGAGUGCAGAAGGGGCAAUCGGAAUUCUUGGUGUAGCGGUGAAAUGCGUAGAUAUCAAGAGGAACACCUGAGGUGAAGACGGGUUGCUGGGCAUCUCCUGACGCUGAGGCGCGAAAGCGUGGGGAGCAAACGGG
This 253-nucleotide ribosomal RNA is filed under the name uncultured bacterium. Its description in RNAcentral is "partial 16S ribosomal RNA". It matches the Rfam family "Bacterial small subunit ribosomal RNA", at positions 524 to 776 of the family's 1533-position model. The record is from RNAcentral.